AAGCUUCAUGGGUAGGUUACCAACGUCCUUGUCCCAACCAAGCUCACAGCGACCGCCUUCACGCAAGGGGCUCGAGGAUCUCUGUCAUUCCCUUUAACGCUAACAAAAAUCUGACUAACCGGACAUGAUGGCAGCAAGGUUUCUCCGCCGUUCCCUGCCCGUGCUGAGGCAAGCGCGCUCCUACGCCGAGGCCGUCUCCGGAGCCCCGCAGAUGUCCUUCACUUUCGCCUCCCCGACACAGGUGUUUUUCAACGGGGCCAACGUGAAACAGGUGGACGUGCCCACGCUCACCGGUGCGUUCGGUAUCCUCCCGGCCCACGUGCCCACCCUGCAGGUGCUGCGGCCCGGCGUCGUUACGGUCUUCGCUGACGACGGCCCCGCUGCCAAAUACUUUGUGAGCAGCGGGUCAGUAACAGUCAAUGCUGAUUCUUCAGUGCAACUGCUGGUUGAGGAGGCAGCUCCUCUGGACCAGCUGGACAUCGCUGUUGCUAAGGCCAACCUGGAGAAGGCCCAGUCUGAAAUGGCUGCCACAUCCGACGAGGCGGCGAGGGCGGCAGUUCAGAUCAGCAUAGACGCCAACGAGGCCAUCAUCAAGGCUCUGGAGUAGACCUGUGGUACGGCGUCUCCCCUGCUGCACCCCCGUGCUGUGAGAGAGAGAAAGAUGUAAACUUUUUCUGUUUCUUUGAUGGAAAUUAAUGGUCCACCUGUGUUUCCUGCUCAGUCACGUCAGUGUCCAGAAGAUUCCAUACUUGCUUUGUACAGUGGAUGAAUUACAAAAUAAAUUUAUUUGGAAAUA
Gasterosteus aculeatus aculeatus (three-spined stickleback) is the source of this 796-nucleotide RNA transcript. It is a transcript of the gene named ATP synthase F1 subunit delta, with no coding region annotated. The record is from RefSeq and is a predicted model, not a curated record. NCBI's taxonomy places the organism in Eukaryota, Metazoa, Chordata, Actinopteri, Perciformes, Gasterosteidae.